UAAUAUUGAAUGUCAAACCGAAUGGUCACAAAAGGUAGAUAAUGGACAGCUUCUAGAUGGUGUUAACUCAGCUGAAAACAUUCAUGGAACGUCUUCAAUGCUUGGCUGACCAUUGAGCUACACGAACAGCCUUGAAAGGUGUCUUUGAUGCGCACGAGGAGCCUUGAAUUGAAAAAGGUAUGCCAGGUUCGGCCAUGGCAUCUUCCAAGGAGCUUUGAAGAGUGAAACGGCAGCCCUUAAAUGCAUGUCUCCUUUGAAGAAUCCUAGACCUUGGGGACGGCAAUGGCAUCAACAAUCUUUAAUGUCCUUCAAUAAUCAGCCUUGGAAAUUCGGAUGGCCAGCAGCAGCUUUAAAUGACGUCUUGAGCACACAAAUAGCUCCUAAAUACUUUCAAUCAACUUAAAUGAGCUGGACUAAAUUUGCAAGUCCUUUGGUGUGUUCAAGACAGCAAUAAGCAUCAGCUUUGGAACCUGAAAACAGCCUUUAAUGCUCCUUGGAAGCAUGAAACGUUCAGCCAUGAAUAAUUAAGCAAUAUACAUGCUUUGGCCGAAUGGUCACUUGGAAAUCCCCCAAACAACAGCUCUUUGCUGUACCCAAAGCAAUACCAGCCUUAAUGCUAUUCAAUAACGUCCCCCCUUGCAUGUUUUCAUUAAUGCCGUCCAUGCAUGGGAACAUCUCAUUAAAUCCAUGUCUUUGCUUCCCUUUAAAUGCCGUUCCAUGCAUGGGAACAUCUCCUUAAUUCGUGGCUUUGCUGCACAUUAAAUCAGCAAGCAGCUUCUUUAAUUUCGUCCAUUAAAUGGCCACAUGAAAAAGCACAAGCAACUCCUUUAAUGCCGUCCAUGUACCUGCAUGCAUUGAAUCAGCCUUUAAAUCACGUUUUAGACAAAUUAAAAUGGUCAAUCAGACAUAUUAAAUUCGGCAGCCACAAUUAACUUCAACUGGACACCAUUUAAAACAUGCAUUAAAUUCGGCCAGAAACAUACAUUAAAUUCGGCCAAAGACAUACAUUAAAUUCGUCUGGAAAAUUAAUUGAAAACAUGAAUUAAAUUUGUCUUAAAUUUAGACACACUUAAUUAACUAUUAGACAUCUAUUUAAUAAGUAAUAAACUAAGACACUUUAAAACCUGUAUUAAAUAGAACACAUUAAAUAGGCUUAAGACAAAUUAAAGCAUGCAUUAAAAAAAACAAAUAAAACAUAUUUAACAUGGAAAUUAAUAUGUCCAAAUUUUUAAACAAAUUAAUUAACUUAUUUAAUUAACUAAUUUAACUAACAGCAACUUAUUUAUUCCAGCAAAAUAAAUGCAAACUUAAUUAAAUAAAUUGCAUUCUAGCUCAAUAAGAUAGAAUCCACCCGAAUUGAACUGGGACGAGCUUGUGAAAAUGACGAGCCUCGCUUGUGAACUGAGCCAAUGACAUUUCCGGGGCGUGGCUGUAUCAUCCCCCUUCUUCGAAGCGACUUGUCCUCAAGUCGAGUUGUUGAUUCUCCCAGUUAGAACUCAUCUUACUCGACUUUCCUCGAUCGAAUGGGACUAACGGCAAUCGAGACCUUUGAAAAAAAUAACCAUGAUUUAGGAAAAAGUAGUGCAAACAUAUUUGCAAUCCGAGUACAACAAGACCAAUGUAAUGCAUGCAAUUGGAAAGAUUCAGAUUACCAUGCAAGCGAACUAGUUUACUCGACAAGGCCAUGAAAAAUGUUCGAAACAAAAUCGAAUAGAUUUCUGAGCAUGCAUACAUCUUAAAUUGAUUACACAAGCAAUAAUUGGAUCCCGAGUAGUGAGUCAAAAUAUGUACAUAGGCAUCACAAACAGGUAAUGAAAAAGAUUUACAUGGUUCUCGAAGUUGCAAAAUCAUACCUUGCAUUAGACGAUUGACUAUCGAUUCUAUUACAAUUACAUCAACACAAUUAUCAAAAACAAGAAUCUUUUUGUCACCAAUAAAAAUAGAUAGAUCGUGUUCAAUUGAGGCAAAACAAUUAACCAUAUCAUAAUCAACAUAUCUUUCAAAAACCAAUUCACGAACAAGAUUGUUAUUACCAUCUGAGGAGAACAAAAAUAUUUCAGAAAUUUCAGGAGGCUUACCUUUAGGAGCAAGAAAAUAAAGUUCAUUUUUACCUCGUUCGCUUAACAAAAACCUUCGCUCCUCGGUGAUGUAGAGUAGUUGAAGUUCCUUGCUUGAAUUAACCUUUUCAAAAUGGAUCUCCAUACUCGACAAUAGAACAUGCAUCAUAAUCAAAUUGGAAUUAUAAUCAAAGUACAUCGAGAACUCAUCCAAAUGAUCAUGUAAUCGAAGUUUCAUUCGGUCAAUUUUACUCAAAAAUGCAAAAUUUGGAUAACAAAGCAAAUUUGAGACAUCAUCUUCAACUUUAAGUGCACUAACCAUUUUACAUGUCAUCGUCAUAUCAAACAAACAAAUCAAAGACAUGCAUGUUUUCAAGCAUUCAUACGUCUCAAAUCUCAUACACACAUUCUUGUUUAUACAAAGUAAUUUCUCAUAAAAGAUCAAUGAGCAAUUUCCAAAAGCGUUAUUCUUCUUGCCAUCAUUCCACACAAAUCUAUUAUCAUCAAUCAAAGGAUGGCAAGUAACCACAUCAAAGUUCAUAUCACUUCUAAAGGAUAAUUCAUCAACAAGGUUUCCAUCAACAAUCGAAUAAGGCAGAAGUGCUUUAAGAAUUUCAAAACUCAUACCUUGCUCCUCUUUUGGCUUAGACGAACUAAGAUCGUUGAGAAUGUUACCUUUUUCAACCAAGGUGAACCUUCUCUCCUUCAAAAGGUAUUGAAGUUGAAGCUUGUCAAUCGAUUCCUUGGAAACUUGGAAAGAAGAAAAUCUACACGGCAAACUUCCAAAUGGGUUAGUUAGAACAUUCCUCACUUUUUCUUGUUCUCUUUCGUCUCUUUCACUAUUUUCUUUUGCAAACUCUUUUUCUUUUUCACUCGAUUUCUUUUCAAGCUCGCUUUCAAUUUCUUUUUUUACUCUUUCUUUUUCCAUAGAAAACUCAUCUAUUCUCGUUUCUUUUUCAAUGACUCUUGUUUCUUGCAUACUUUCUUUCCUUUCUUCAAUCUCACUCUCUUUUUCAAUUUUCUUUUCAAUUUUCUUUUCUAUCUCACACUCAUCUUCUUUUUCUUUCAUUUCCUUUUCUUUUUCAUUUUCUCGCUCGCAUUCUUUUUCUUUUUCACAUGAUGUUUCGAUUUUAUUACAAAAGUAUAAAUCAUCAACAUGAUAAGCCUUUCGUUGAGAAUAAGAAAAUGUUUCUUCAUACAAAAGAGGAUCAUCUCUUUGUGAUUGAUCUUCCGUAUACGAGUACUUUGACACUCUUGAAACACGUUCGCCUCUUCGUAAAUAAUCCUUCGUAGAUGAAUAAAUUGAGGCACUUGUAGAGACAUGUUUACCUUUUCAUUUAUCAUCUCGAAAGGACUCAAACUCAGAGUUUGCUUCUCUUGGUCUCGAACGCCUUGUUGAAUAAACGUCUUGAUAAGAGUCUCUUGUCGAGUAGUGUCGUCGGGAUGAUCUUAACUCCGUCUCUUGACUCGAUGAAAUUUGCUUUUGUUGGGCUCUUGUCUCUAUUCGAUCCAAUCGAUUAUGCAAUUUAUCAAAUUUUGAUUUCACUAUUCUACGCACUUCUUGCAUCAAAUAUUGGAAUUCUGAUUCGGAAAAUUCUUCUUGAGACAUUUUUUUUGUUAAAAAGAAUAAGUGUUUAAAAUAGAAAGUAAAUACCUCACCACAAAACCUCGCAAGUCACUCGGAAAGAAAAUUUUCACUCCACUCGUGUUUACGCUCGCUUUUGGCUUUUCUUCUCUCGAAUGAACUCACACCAAUCACUCUUGCCUUUUUCCACUCGAUUUUUCGCCUCUCAAAGUUCUUCGCAAACUAAAUUGAUGAAUCAAUACCGUUUGGCGUCGGCUUAAAAAUUGUUUUGGCUUGGUGGGUAAUGAUGUCGAAAAUGGUAGGCUAUCAAACAAACUAGAAAUGGUUAAGUGUGGCUAGAUAGAUAUGGUCCUUCAGGCAACAAGCAAUGCUUUUACAAACUCAAAAUGAAUUUCAAUCACUCUUUUUUUUUUCAAUUUCAAAUUUUUUUUUCUUCUUUUUUUUAAUUCUGAUUUUUUUCUUUUUUUUCUUCAAUACUAAAUAUAAAAAGUAAAAACAAAUUGAAUACAAAAUUUUUUUUGAAUUUUUUUUUCAAAAUUUUUUUUUGAUUUUUUUGUUCAAUUUUUUUUACAAUACCGUAAUGACAAAAAUGUCGAUCUUACUUCGAUUCAGCUAUCUCUGAUACCAAAUGAUGCGACCCCUGCCUCGUUGAUGAAUCCGAGUCGUAUGGUUGCCCAAUCGUGAAUUGGAGUAAUUUGAAAGCUUAACAAAAUAGGCUAGAAGAAAAUGAUUAUUUAGGCUCAAAAGAGUUUUGUUGGUUUAGGAAAUGAAUUAGAAGACAAUGGAUGUAAUUUGGCUAAGGAUUCAAAAGCUGAACUAACACAAUAGUAGUGUGUUAACCAGUAACUUAUGAGAAUGCUUAGGUUGGUAAGGUGUCGAUGGAAGGUUUGUUAAGUGGAUAGAAACUUCGACCCGCUAUCAAAAAUGAUAGGAACCUCAGUACGAAUCGAACACCACACUUUUGGGAUUAAAGUGAUAAGUUCAGAUAGAAAGACGGUUGACGCCACAAGGGUUACUUGAUAAGUCAGACGAGUCUUUGGAGAACAAUGAGAGUUGAAAACAAACUCACAAAGUAAACAAAUUUCAUAUAAGUUUUAAAAAUAUAUUGUCUAACCAAAAAAAUGAUUACAAAACAACUAUUUAUACUAAUAUUGAAUGUCAAACCGAAUGGUCACAAAAGGUAGAUAAAUGGACAGCUUCUAGAUGGUGUUAACUCAGCUGAAAACAUUCAUGGAACGUCUUCAAUGCUUGGCUGACCAUUGAGCUACACGAACAGCCUUGAAAGGUGUCUUUGAUGCGCACGAGGAGCCUUGAAUUGAAAAAGGUAUGCCAGGUUCGGCCAUGGCGUCUUCCAAGGAGCUUUGAAGAGUGAAACGGCAGCCCUUAAAUGCAUGUCUCCUUUGAAGAAUCCUAGACCUUGGGGACGGUAAUGGCAUCAACAAUCUUUAAUGUCCUUCAAUAAUCAGCCUUGGAAAUUAGGAUGGCCAGCAGCAGCUUUAAAUGACGUCUUGAGCACACAAAUAGCUCCUAAAUACUUUCAAUCAACUUAAAUGAGCUGGACUAAAUUUGCAAGUCCUUUGGUGUGUUCAAGAUACCAAUAAGCAUCAGCUUUGGAACCUGAAAAUGACCUUUAAUGCUCCUUGGAAGCAUGAAACGUUCAGCCUUGAAUAAUUAAGCAAUAUACAUGCUUUGGCCGAAUGGUCACUUGGAAAUCCCCCAAACAACAGCUCUUUGCUGUACCCAAAGCAAUACCAGCCUUAAUGCUAUUCAAUAACGUCCCCCUUGCAUGUUUUCAUUAAUGCCGUCCAUGCAUGGGAACAUCUCAUUAAAUCCAUGUCUUUGCUUCCCUUUAAAUGCCGUUCCAUGCAUGGGAACAUCUCCUUAAUUCGUGGCUUUGCUGCACAUUAAAUCAGCAAGCAGCUUCUUUAAUUUCGUCCAUUAAAUGGC
This 5589-nucleotide long non-coding RNA is filed under the name Gossypium barbadense (sea-island cotton). RNAcentral describes it as "long non-coding RNA (GBAR_LNC017160)". The record is from RNAcentral. Lineage: Eukaryota; Viridiplantae; Streptophyta; Magnoliopsida; Malvales; Malvaceae.